This 68-nucleotide small RNA is filed under the name Virgibacillus sp. SK37. RNAcentral's name for it is "Bacillaceae-1 RNA". It matches the Rfam family "Bacillaceae-1 RNA". Lineage: Bacteria; Bacillati; Bacillota; Bacilli; Caryophanales; Bacillaceae. The record is from Rfam by way of RNAcentral.
GAUGUAUGACCUUCUACUAAAACCACCCACGUCCUGUGGGUAGCGCAGAAGGCACCACAUCCUGUGGA